GAUGAACGCUGGCGGCGUGCCUAAUACAUGCAAGUCGAGCGAACAGACGAGGAGCUUGCUCCUCUGACGUUAGCGGCGGACGGGUGAGUAACACGUGGAUAACCUACCUAUAAGACUGGGAUAACUUCGGGAAACCGGAGCUAAUAGCGGAUAAUAUCUUGAACCGCAUGGUUCAAUAGUGAAAGACGGUUUUGCUGGCACUUAUAGAUGGAUCCGCGCCGCAUUGGCUAGUUGGUAAGGUAACGGCUUACCAAGGCAACGAUGCGUAGCCGACCUGACAGAGUGAUCGGCGGCACUGGAGCGUGGACGCGGUCCUGAGUCCUGCGAGAGGCAGCAGUAGGGUAUGGUCCGCAAUGGGGGGAAACCUGGCGGAGCAGCGGCGCGUGAGUGAUGAAGGUCUUGGGAUCGUAAAACUGGGUUAUGAGUGAAGAACAGAUGUGGACGUAAAUAUGCACGGCUUGACGGUACCUGGUCAGAAAGCCACGGCUAACUACGUG
RNAcentral lists this ribosomal RNA (497 nucleotides) under uncultured bacterium. RNAcentral's name for it is "partial 16S ribosomal RNA". It matches the Rfam family "Bacterial small subunit ribosomal RNA", at positions 28 to 507 of the family's 1533-position model. The record is from RNAcentral.